RNAcentral lists this ribosomal RNA (342 nucleotides) under Triticum aestivum (bread wheat). RNAcentral's name for it is "partial small subunit ribosomal RNA". Lineage: Eukaryota; Viridiplantae; Streptophyta; Magnoliopsida; Poales; Poaceae. The record is from RNAcentral.
AUGGAGAAUCAUCCUUUUAGGGGUUUGUUCGGGGUAUCUUCACCUCAACCAGAACCACAAUUAGUUGCCCCUCAACCUACUGCACCUACUGAAAAUAUUGGUUAUGAAAUUCCUUCAGGUAUGACAGAACAACUGAUAGCUAAUCCUUAUGUAGGAGAUGGAACUGAACAUCCUGAUAUGCACUUGAUAUAUGUGGAUGAAAUUUGUGGAUUAUUUAAGCUUGCAGGUUUACCCGGAGAUGAAGCUAAGAAAAAGGUUUUCCCUUUACCUUUGAAGGAAAAAAAGCAUUGGCAUGGUAUAGGUUGUGCGAUGAUAUUGGAUCUUGGAAUUGGAAUCGAUUGA